AGAGUUUGAUCAUGGCUCAGGAUGAACGCUAGCUACAGGCUUAACACAUGCAAGUCGAGGGGCAGCAUGAAGUUUGCUUGCAAACUUUGAUGGCGACCGGCGCACGGGUGAGUAACGCGUAUCCAACCUGGCCCGCAGUAGGGAACAGCCCGGCGAAAGUCGGAUUAAUGCCCUAUGUCUUCCUUUGCAGGCAUCCAAUGAGGAAGAAAGAUUUAUCGCUGCGGGAUGGGGAUGCGUCUGAUUAGCUUGUCGGCGGGGUAACGGCCCACCGAGGCGACGAUCAGUAGGGGUUCUGAGAGGAAGGUCCCCCACACUGGUACUGAGACACGGACCAGACUCCUACGGGAGGCAGCAGUGAGGAAUAUUGGUCAAUGGGCGAGAGCCUGAACCAGCCAAGUAGCGUGCAGGACGACUGCCCUAUGGGUUGUAAACUGCUUUUAUGCGGGGAUAAACUUCAGCACGUGUGCUGUUUUGCAGGUACCGCAUGAAUAAGGACCGGCUAAUUCCGUGCCAGCAGCCGCGGUAAUACGGAAGGUCCGGGCGUUAUCCGGAUUUAUUGGGUUUAAAGGGAGCGCAGGCGGGUUGUUAAGCGUGACGUGAAAUGUAGGGGCUCAACCUUUGAAUUGCGUCGCGAACUGGCGACCUUGAGUGGGUACGACGCGGACGGAAUUCGUGGUGUAGCGGUGAAAUGCUUAGAUAUCACGAAGAACUCCGAUUGCGAAGGCAGUCCGCGAGUCCCCAACUGACGCUAAAGCUCGAAAGUGCGGGUAUCGAACAGGAUUAGAUACCCUGGUAGUCCGCACGGUAAACGAUGGAUGCCCGCUGUCUGCGAUACACUGUAGGCGGCCAAGGGAAACCGUUAAGCAUCCCACCUGGGGAGUACGCCGGCAACGGUGAAACUCAAAGGAAUUGACGGGGGCCCGCACAAGCGGAGGAACAUGUGGUUUAAUUCGAUGAUACGCGAGGAACCUUACCCGGGCUUGAACUGCAGCAGGAGGAUUCAGAGAUGAUGACGCCCUUCGGGGCUGCUGUGGAGGUGCUGCAUGGUUGUCGUCAGCUCGUGCCGUGAGGUGUCGGCUUAAGUGCCAUAACGAGCGCAACCCCUUCCGUCAGUUGCCAUCACGUAAUGGUGGGCACUCUGUCGGUACUGCCACCGUAAGGUGCGAGGAAGGUGGGGAUGACGUCAAAUCAGCACGGCCCUUACGUCCGGGGCUACACACGUGUUACAAUGGGUGGUACAGAGAGUCAGGCGCCGGCAACGUCGCCUUAAUCAUGAAAGCCAUCCUCAGUUCGGAUUGGGGUCUGCAACCCGACCCCAUGAAGCUGGAUUCGCUAGUAAUCGCGCAUCAGCCAUGGCGCGGUGAAUACGUUCCCGGGCCUUGUACACACCGCCCGUCAAGCCAUGAAAGCCUGGGGCGCCUGAAGUCAGUGGCCUAACCGCAAGGAAGGAGCUGCCGAAGGCAGGUCGGAUGACUGGGGUGAAGUCGUAACAAGGUAGCC
This 1500-nucleotide ribosomal RNA is filed under the name uncultured rumen bacterium. Its description in RNAcentral is "bacterial SSU rRNA". It matches the Rfam family "Bacterial small subunit ribosomal RNA". The record is from RNAcentral.